CCCGUCCUGAAGCACGGACCAAGGAGUCUAACAUGUACGCGAGUGAUUGAGAACGUAACCUCAAACGCGUAAUGAAAGUGAAGAGUCGUUUUACACGGCUUGAGGAGAGAUCAUGUCAUUAUUUGGAAUUCCGAAAGGUUUUCUGGAUAGAUGUAUGCGCACCUCCUGGACGUCUAUACCACUGAUGGUUGGGCGUACCUAGAGCGUACAUGCUGGGACCCGAAAGAUGGUGAACUAUGCCUGGUCAGAACGAAGCCAGGGGAAACUCUGGUGGAGGUUCGUAGCGAUUCUGACGUGCAAAUCGAUCGUCGGAACUGGGUAUAGGGGCGAAAGACUAAUCGAACCAUCUAGUAGCUGGUUCCCUCCGAAGUUUCCCUCAGGAUAGCUGGCGCUUUUAUUACCAGUCUCAUCCGGUAAAGCGAAUGAUUAGAGGCCUUGGGGCCGAAACGACCUCAACCUAUUCUCAAACUUUAAAUGGGUGAGUUAUUAAGCUUGCUUGAUCGAAGCUUAUAUUUUUGGAUGGUGAGUGCCAAGUGGGCCACUCUUGGUAAGCAGAACUGGCGCUGUGGGAGU
RNAcentral lists this ribosomal RNA (573 nucleotides) under Sminthurinus aureus. RNAcentral's name for it is "partial 28S ribosomal RNA". It matches the Rfam family "Eukaryotic large subunit ribosomal RNA", at positions 648 to 1165 of the family's 3401-position model. The record is from RNAcentral. Lineage: Eukaryota; Metazoa; Arthropoda; Collembola; Symphypleona; Katiannidae.